GAUGAACGCUGGCGGCGUGCCUAAUACAUGCAAGUCGAGCGAACAGACGAGGAGCUUGCUCCUCUGACGUUAGCGGCGGACGGGUGAGUAACACGUGGAUAACCUACCUAUAAGACUGGGAUAACUUCGGGAAACCGGAGCUAAUACUGGAUAAUAUAUUGAACCGCAUGGUUCAAUAGUGAAAGACGGUUUUGCUGUCACUUAUAGAUGGAUCCGCGCCGCAUUAGCUAGUUGGUAAGGUAACGGCUUACCAAGGCAACGAUGCGUAGCCGACCUGAGAGGGUGAUCAGCCACACUGGAACUGAGACACGGUCCAGACUCCUACGGGAGGCAGCAGUAGGGAAUCUUCCACAAUGGGCGAAAGCCUGACGGAGCAACGCCGCGUGAGUGAUGAAGGUCUUCGGAUCGUAAAACUCUGUUAUUAGGGAAGAACAAAUGUGUAAGUAACUAUGCACGUCUUGACGGUACCUAAUCAGAAAGCCACGGCUAACUACGUG
RNAcentral lists this ribosomal RNA (497 nucleotides) under uncultured bacterium. Its description in RNAcentral is "partial 16S ribosomal RNA". It matches the Rfam family "Bacterial small subunit ribosomal RNA", at positions 28 to 507 of the family's 1533-position model. The record is from RNAcentral.